Long non-coding RNA from Ziziphus jujuba (common jujube), 2964 nucleotides. RefSeq lists it as uncharacterized. The transcript has 3 exons. The record is from RefSeq and is a predicted model, not a curated record. Lineage: Eukaryota; Viridiplantae; Streptophyta; Magnoliopsida; Rosales; Rhamnaceae.
CGACCGCAUGCCUCCUGUGCGGACCAAACAUGUGAUCAAAAGUGGAGCCAUCUGAUCUGCACAUUUGGCAUCAACGGUUCUGGACAAAAGUUGGUCUCACGCGAGAAUUUUGGCCAAGGCUCCCCUGAGCCCUUCGCAGCUUCCUCUUGUAUUUGCCUCUGCAUUUCCCCUUUCCAUUCGUGAGAUCUUUAGCCAAAUUUCCCUUUCCCCUUCACAGCUUUCUCUUCUAUUUGCCUUUGCAUUUCCCCUUUCCAUUCGUGAGAUCUUUGGCCAAAUUUCCCCUUCCCCUACGCAGCUUCCUCUUCUAUUUGCCUCUGCAUUUCCCUUUCCCAUUCGCGGCUUCCUGUUUUAUUUAUCUCUACUUCCACACUUCCACCAUUAUAGACACUGCAAGCCACAGAUCUCCAGCUCACGGGAAAGCCGUUCAGCCCCACCCGUUCUAGCCAUUCUCCUGUGCUGCUUCCACCGGCCACUAGAUUCUCCACUGCUUCCACUAAUUACCAGAUUCUCUAGUGCUUCCACCAUCGAGAGUAUGUAGGUUAAAUCUGCAACUUCUAUAUGUCAAUUUACCUUCCAAUGUUAUACUAGACAUACAAAAUAACUUUAAAAUUUGCAUAAAUAAUAUAUAAAAAAAAAGACUAUCGGUUUCACUCAGGAAACGUGAUGAUAAAAAAAAUAUUUUUUACCAAAAACAAAAUAAAUAAAAAUUGGGCUAGUCAAGAAAUGACUGGAAGUGUAAAAGUGAGUGGUUAGGCAAAAAUGUGUUUCAAUAAAUAAUGAUUUUGCAUGAGCAUAUAUUUGCACGGGGCUCCACUCAACAUUAAUGGGUUUUACUCCUUUUUUUUUUUUUUUUUUUUUUUUUUGGGGAAUUCAUCUCCUCCUCCAAGUAAAAGAAUACAUUUGGAAUGUUAUAUUUUUUAUAAAUAGCCAUAUCAACGACUAUACAACUUGUUCAAUUUAUUUAUUUUUCACAUACAUUUUCUCCCCCUAGCUUUUUAUAGUUUUCUGCUGAUCUGAACGGUAGUAAAUUGCUUUAAUUUCAUACCUACGUUCAUAUAUAUACUAAGCUUUUGCUUCUCAACAUAAUAUAUGCAUAUUUUGUAUUAAUUAAGCAAUUGCAUCAUAUAUGAAAAUUAGAUGAUAGUUACAUGUAAAUAUUUUUUAUUUUUUAUUUUAUUUUAUUUUAUUUUUUGUGAAGAAUAUGUUAUAUGCAUUUGUUUGGUUAAACAGUACCAUAAUAUUAUAGAAUAUGUUGUAUGUUUUAUUAUUUUUUAGUUUGAUUUUGCUGAAGGAGUAUAAGAAUAAUUAAUUGAAGUGAAAAUGUUCGAAAAGAGUUAGAUAAUGUUUGCAGAUGCUCUAAGAAUAUUCAAUAUGGUCUGAGAAUCUUUAUUUCGCACGAAAUAUAUAACAAAGAGGGGUGACAGGAUAAGCAUGUACAGGAAUGUUGAAAGUGAAUGUUAAGCAAACCGUAUGAAUAUGGAAAAACGUGCUAAUAUAUAUUUAGUGGUUGUUAUUGCUAUUGCUUGAUAGUCAUUGUUAUUGCUAGGUUAGAUUCGUUCAUUUAUGUAGAAAGGUUACUGGUGGUUUUUUUUUUUUUUUUUUAUAUGUCUUUUGGCUUUUUAUAGCUUAUUAAAUCCUACCUUGUGUCCUUUAGAAAUCACAGCUGGAGAUUAGUUGUGUAAGCAUGUCAACAAGUACUAGUGAUGUUCAACCAAUCCAAAUAUGCUCAUGUGGGCAAUAUAUGCAUUUAAAAACAUCAAGGAUAGAUAAGAAUCUAAAUCGUCAAUUUUGAAAAUGCUUAGGUGGAGAACAGGUUGUACAUAAUUGUUCCAUGUGUUAAAUUUUUAUUUGUUUUUGCUUAUAAAUUAAUUAAAUUAUAUAUGUUUAUAUGCCACAGGAAAAAUGAUAUAGUAGAUUCAUUUGGACAAAAGAAGGUGAAGCUAAACUAGAAAAAAUUGAUGUAUUUAUCGGUGAAGUUCGUCGUUUAUCUUUGGAAGUGGAGAAAUCUAAUAAUAUUCUUGAAGUAAUUCAGAAAAAUACUAAGAGGAGCGACCAAUAUGAUGUUAAGACGAUCAUAUUCCUUGUACUUUUAUUAUUUAUUUUCUUUAAAAUGUUAGUCGAGUAAGCCAUCAAGUAAGAUAUAUGUAUGUUUGGUUGGUAAACUAAUCAUGUAGUAAAUUCUACCUUAUGCUUGUGAAGCACCAUAUGUAUCCUAUUAAGCUUACUGUAUGUUUUGUUGAAAUUGUCUGUUAUAAUUAACUAUGCAAUAUGAUGUGUCAAGUAUGUUGAAUUGUUUGAUGAAUUGAUUCCCAUUUUAUUCCCUUUAUAUUGCUGAUGUGGUUCACGUAAUGGUAGCCCUUUGGUGUGCGUUACAUGCUUUCAUUGAUGAUUUUUAUAGGUUCUUGUUUCAAAUGUAUUCAUUAUCAAUAUUAGUAUUAACCCUAAAACCAAAUCAUAUUACCUUUUUGAUGGCUAUGCACAUCUCUCUUCUGGGCUUGCUUGUGGUCUUGCUGGGCUUGCGGCUGGAAUGGCAAUUGGUAUAAUUGGUGAUGCAGGUGUCAGGGCCAUGGUAAGUCAUGCUUAAAGAAGCAAAUGGGUCUUAUGCUUGUGCUUGUGCAAGCUGACAUUUCUAAAAUGGUUUCAAUCCUUUGGAGUAAAAAUCCAUAAGCUAUGGUGUAGACCAUUUUGAAGUGCAGAUUGAUUGAUCUGGAAAAAAAGGUGCUAUGAACCAUUUGGUGCUUGAGCUCAUUACAGCUUUUAGCCUUCAUACUAGUGACAAUGUUACUAUUGAAGCAAGUUGGUUGUUGAAUUGUACCAUGAACCCAUUUUAAAUGUACCAGAAAAGUUAAUGUUGACAAAUGUUGCCAAAUGAAUGUAUAGGUUCCUGUUGUAGCUCACUAGCUUUGAAAGUGUAACUUGGAUGUUUGUGUUGUGAAUAAAUUACUGAAAGUUAAGUUCUAUAAA